CCUACGGGGGGCAGCAGUGAGGAAUAUUGGUCAAUGGACGCGAGUCUGAACCAGCCAAGUAGCGUGAAGGAUGACUGCCCUAUGGGUUGUAAACUUCUUUUAUAUGGGAAUAAAACGUUCCACGUGUGGGAUUUUGUAUGUACCAUAUGAAUAAGGAUCGGCUAACUCCGUGCCAGCAGCCGCGGUAAUACGGAGGAUCCGAGCGUUAUCCGGAUUUAUUGGGUUUAAAGGGAGCGUAGGUGGAUUGUUAAGUCAGUUGUGAAAGUUUGCGGCUCAACCGUAAAAUUGCAGUUGAAACUGGCAGUCUUGAGUACAGUAGAGGUGGGCGGAAUUCGUGGUGUAGCGGUGAAAUGCUUAGAUAUCACGAAGAACUCCGAUUGCGAAGGCAGUUCACUGGACUGCAACUGACACUGAGGCUCGAAAGUGUGGGUAUCAAACAGGAUUAGAUACCCCAGUAGUC
Molecule: ribosomal RNA, 460 nt
Filed under: uncultured bacterium
Lineage: Bacteria
Description: partial 16S ribosomal RNA
Rfam family: Bacterial small subunit ribosomal RNA
Source: RNAcentral